This 256-nucleotide ribosomal RNA is filed under the name uncultured bacterium. RNAcentral describes it as "partial 16S ribosomal RNA". It matches the Rfam family "Bacterial small subunit ribosomal RNA", at positions 524 to 776 of the family's 1533-position model. The record is from RNAcentral.
UACGAAGGGGGCUAGCGUUGUUCGGAAUUACUGGGCGUAAAGGGCGCGCAGGCGGCCCUCCAAGUCAGGCGUGAAAGCCCCGGGCUCAACCCGGGAAUAGCGCUUGAGACUGGGGGGCUUGAGUUCGGGAGAGGAGAGUGGAAUUCCCAGUGUAGAGGUGAAAUUCGUAGAUAUUGGGAAGAACACCAGUGGCGAAGGCGGCUCACUGGCCCGGGUACUGACGCUGAGGUGACGAAAGGCGUGGGGAGCAAACAGG